ACUGCAAGGAUUGACAGAUUGAGAGCUCUUUCUUGAUUCGGUGGGUGGUGGUGCAUGGCCGUUCUUAGUUGGUGGAGCGAUUUGUCUGGUUAAUUCCGAUAACGAACGAGACUCUAGCCUACUAAAUAGUUCGGGGAUCCUCUAUCGAGUCCCCGUCAACUUCUUAGAGGGACAAGUGGCGCUUAGCCACACGAGAUUGAGCAAUAACAGGUCUGUGAUGCCCUUAGAUGUUCGGGGCCGCACAUGCGCUACACUGAAUGGAUCAGCGUGCGUCUCGCCUGACCCGAGAGGGUUGGGAAACCCGUUGAACCCCAUUCGUGCUAGGGAUUGGGGCUUGCAAUUGUUCCCCAUGAACGAGGAAUUCCCAGUAAGCGCGAGUCAUCAGCUCGCGUUGAUUACGUCCC
RNAcentral lists this ribosomal RNA (404 nucleotides) under Ruditapes philippinarum (Manila clam). Its description in RNAcentral is "SSU rRNA". It matches the Rfam family "Eukaryotic small subunit ribosomal RNA", at positions 1230 to 1653 of the family's 1831-position model. Lineage: Eukaryota; Metazoa; Mollusca; Bivalvia; Venerida; Veneridae. The record is from RNAcentral.